This is a long non-coding RNA of Culicoides brevitarsis, 300 nucleotides long. RefSeq lists it as uncharacterized. The record is from RefSeq and is a predicted model, not a curated record. NCBI's taxonomy places the organism in Eukaryota, Metazoa, Arthropoda, Insecta, Diptera, Ceratopogonidae. The transcript has 3 exons.
GGCUUCAAACGUUCUCCUUUAAGACAUAUGACCUCUAUUUUCUUCUGCACUUAAAUGUUUUCCCAUUAUUUACUAACUAUCUAUAUAAGCUGAAUUUGAGGCCAUUUAGAAGACGUUUAAUUACACUGUGAAACAAAAAAAAAGUACAUUGACUUUCUCCAAGGUCAUCAUUUUUUGAACUUCUGCCUUUUUGGAUAUGGUCGAUAUAAAUUUGUUAAUAGCUCUUGACCUACUUUAAGACUGCCUCAAUCCGGACCUUCCGGAGGGCACUUAUUUUUGUUCCACAGAUUUAUAGUUCAU